RNAcentral lists this ribosomal RNA (292 nucleotides) under uncultured bacterium. RNAcentral describes it as "partial 16S ribosomal RNA". It matches the Rfam family "Bacterial small subunit ribosomal RNA", at positions 505 to 796 of the family's 1533-position model. The record is from RNAcentral.
GUGUCAGCCGCCGCGGUAAGACGAACCGAGCGAACGUUGUUCGGAAUCACUGGGCUUAAAGGGCGCGUAGGCGGGCUGUCAAGUUUGGGGUGAAAUCCCGCGGCUCAACCGUGGAACUGCCUCAAAUACUGACGGUCUCGAGGGGGAUAGGGGCGAGCGGAACUAAUGGUGGAGCGGUGAAAUGCGUUGAUAUCAUUAGGAACUCCGGUGGCGAAGGCGGCUCGCUGGAUCUCUUCUGACGCUGAGGCGCGAAAGCUAGGGGAGCAAACGGGAUUAGAAACCCCGGUAGUCC